RNAcentral lists this ribosomal RNA (350 nucleotides) under uncultured bacterium. RNAcentral's name for it is "partial 16S ribosomal RNA". It matches the Rfam family "Bacterial small subunit ribosomal RNA", at positions 338 to 699 of the family's 1533-position model. The record is from RNAcentral.
CCUACGGGUGGCUGCAGUCGAGAAUCAUUGUCAAUGGACGCAAGUCUGAACGUGCGAUGCCGCGUGGAGGAAUGCAGGUCUUUGGAUUGUAAACCCCUUUCAUGCGGGAGCAAAUUCAAAAGAUAGUACCUCACGAGGAAGAGACUGCUAACUCUGUGCCAGCAGCCGCGGUAAUACAGAGGUUUCAAGCGUUGUUCGGAAUCACUGGGCGUAAAGCGUGCGUAGGCAGUUGCGUAAGUCGUGUGUGAAAGGCUGGGGCUCAAACCCCGGAUGGCACAUGAUACUGUGAGGCUAGAGAUAUGGUGGGGGAGGCGGAAUGUACGGUGUAGCAGUGAAAUGCGUAGAGAUCG